UAGUGCUAUUUCUUUUUACCAAACUGAGUCUCUUGCUUCAGGAAAACUAUCUUCAACAUAAACUUGUUAAAAAGGGAAUGUGUGGGCAGCAGCACUCUGCAAAGCUCCACAUCCAGCUUCAGUCUAAUGGAUCAGUCUUAAGCAAUCUGGAGAGGCUGACUUAGGGGAGAGUGCUCUGAUGGCUAAGCUUGGUGUUUCCUGCUCUCUACACACGGAAUCCUUGCCUCUGGCUAAGAUUAAAAGCGUGAAACUGCAUGGGGAAACACAAGAAGGCUUGUCUCUGCAGACAGGCAAAGGAAGCUGAAAUGCAUCCUGAAAUUUACUUUGCCCAGAGGUCUGGGAAAACUGGAGAAAGUGGGAAAAGCUCCUUUCUUCAUAAAUGCAGUUGACCAGCAGAGCAGCAUUCAUUAGAAUCUGAAUGAGAAGAGAGAAGGGGAUAUAUGGCAAUUUAUGGUAUGUAACCAAGAGCAACAUGUUUUAUGUUUAAGUAUAUCGUUCUUUAGCAUUCUAGAGGACUAUGAAAGAGG
Molecule: long non-coding RNA, 527 nt
Filed under: Cyanistes caeruleus (blue tit)
Lineage: Eukaryota; Metazoa; Chordata; Aves; Passeriformes; Paridae
Description: lncRNA (ENSCCEG00000019514.1)
Source: RNAcentral